This 460-nucleotide ribosomal RNA is filed under the name uncultured bacterium. RNAcentral describes it as "partial 16S ribosomal RNA". It matches the Rfam family "Bacterial small subunit ribosomal RNA", at positions 338 to 795 of the family's 1533-position model. The record is from RNAcentral.
CCUACGGGAGACAGCAGUGAGGAAUAUUGGUCAAUGGACGAGAGUCUGAACCAGCCAAGUAGCGUGAAGGAUGACUGCCCUAUGGGUUGUAAACUUCUUUUAUAUGGGAAUAAAAUAGGUUAUGCAUACCCUCUUGUAUGUACCAUAUGAAUAAGGAUCGGCUAACUCCGUGCCAGCAGCCGCGGUAAUACGGAGGGUCCGGGCGUUAUCCGGAUUUAUUGGGUUUAAAGGGAGCGUAGGUGGAUUGUUAAGUCAGUCGUGAAAGUUUGCGGCUCAACCGUAAAAUUGCAGUUGAAACUGGCAUGCUUGAGUGCAGUAGAGGUAGGCGGAAUUCGUGGUGUAGCGGUGAAAUGCUUAGAUAUCACGAAGAACUCCGAUUGCGAAGGCAGCUCACUGGACUGCAACUGACGUUGAGGCUCGAAAGCGUGGGUAGCGAACAGGAUUAGAUACCCCAGUAGUC